AGCUUAUCUGGGGUGGACCCUGUAUUUGCCUCUUCCAUUAUCGAGCUUUUAUCAAUUUUUGAGCUUUCGUCUCCUCUUGAGCCUCCGUAGACUUUGAGCUUUCCUCAUUCGAGAUGGUAUACUCAAGAAUAAAGUUCGCCGGCACUUGGACCUUGAUAGCAGGCCUUGGACGGUACUGCACGUCCAGCUCAACAAUCUCCAACACCCACUUUGCAAUCCAUCCUA
Molecule: long non-coding RNA, 225 nt
Filed under: Elaeis guineensis (African oil palm)
Lineage: Eukaryota; Viridiplantae; Streptophyta; Magnoliopsida; Arecales; Arecaceae
Description: long non-coding RNA (EGUI_LNC033774)
Source: RNAcentral